This 64-nucleotide small RNA is filed under the name Staphylococcus simiae CCM 7213 = CCUG 51256. RNAcentral's name for it is "Staphylococcus simiae CCM 7213 Staphylococcus sRNA sau-30". It matches the Rfam family "Staphylococcus sRNA sau-30". Lineage: Bacteria; Bacillati; Bacillota; Bacilli; Caryophanales; Staphylococcaceae. The record is from Rfam by way of RNAcentral.
CUCAACAAACUUAUGAUGGGGUGCGCGCUUUUUUAUUGUACAAGAUAACGGAUUUGUAGACAUU